RNAcentral lists this long non-coding RNA (1083 nucleotides) under Calidris pygmaea (Spoon-billed sandpiper). Its description in RNAcentral is "lncRNA (ENSCPGG00000013468.1)". Lineage: Eukaryota; Metazoa; Chordata; Aves; Charadriiformes; Scolopacidae. The record is from RNAcentral.
GUGGGAUUUAUCAAUGAUUAUGUACCCAGUUGUGAAUGUGGCCUCAUACAUAGAGGGCUUUUAAAAAUACACAGCAGAAAAAUAUGAUUUAUUCAGAUAGGUUUUGUUUGAGUUUGAUUUGCUUUUCCUGAUGAUGACGAGGGUUUUAAGAUUUUUUUUUUUAAACUUUAAGAAAAUGACUCAAGGGGUAGUUAUAGAUAUUUGGCCUGAUUUUAAUAGGCGUAGGGAAUGAGCUCCAGAGGUCAAUAAACCCCUCCAAAAUGAUGAAUGAUUGAGUACCUGUGAUGAUGAUAGUGAUUACCGGAGCAAUUAAACAGUUUGAUUAAAUGAGCCAUCAUAACAAUGAUGUCUGCGGGAAAUCAGCCCUCACAUAUAAAGAAAGAUAGUGUGGAGGGCUGACAAACGCCAGUGGGCAUUCCUGCGUGUUCCGAUAGCGCCGAGCCCUGCAGAGCAGGGCUCUAUUUACAAUUACGGGGGGAAUACGGAGAAAAGUCCCUCUCCUACUUUUAGCUAGAGUUGCACCCUGCUUAAAACCCGCCAGAAGCCGGAGAGCAGACCCGUGUUUUUUUUCCUAGAGGAUCUCCUCCAAGAUUAAAGCUAGUCCUAAGAGCAACCGAAUUGCUGUGACUGACUUUCACGGGACUGUAAAGAGAGGGAUAUGUGUGUUUAAAGAGAUGCUGAAGAGAUUUCUGAGUUCACGGGGAAGAAGGAAAGGUUGGUUUGGGGAACGGCAGCGCGCCUGGCAGGAGAUGGUUUCCUCAGUGUGUGGCAAGUGUUUCUUCAAGAAAUUCAUCAGCCCUUCUACAAUUACUUCGAGCUCCGAGGGAAGAGAGCUGCCAUCACUUUCUCACAUCCCAAGGUGUUGCAUGGAGGAGAGAAGAAAAGGCUGGCGCAUUUAAUUAUAGGGGGGGAAGGGGGGGCUGGGGGGAACGGGGGCUGUAGAAAGCCGUCCCAAGGCUGUACCUGGAAAAGAAAAACCUGCAAGGGUAUAUUUGGGAGACGUGUGCCAUUUAGAGAUGGGGAAAAGUACCCCAUCUUGUGCAGUAAUUAGUCUGAACAAUAAACAUAAUUGGAAUAAAAUCA